GGAGCUUGCUCCUUUGACGUUAGCGGCGGACGGGUGAGUAACACGUGGAUAACCUACCUAUAAGACUGGGAUAACUUCGGGAAACCGGAGCUAAUACCGGAUAACAUAUUGAACCGCAUGGUUCAAUAGUGAAAGGCGGCUUUGCUGUCACUUAUAGAUGGAUCCGCGCCGUAUUAGCUAGUUGGUAAGGUAACGGCUUACCAAGGCAACGAUACGUAGCCGACCUGAGAGGGUGAUCGGCCACACUGGAACUGAGACACGGUCCAGACUCCUACGGGAGGCAGCAGUAGGGAAUCUUCCGCAAUGGGCGAAAGCCUGACGGAGCAACGCCGCGUGAGUGAUGAAGGUCUUCGGAUCGUAAAACUCUGUUAUCAGGGAAGAACAAAUGUGUAAGUAACUGUGCACAUCUUGACGGUACCUGAUCAGAAAGCCACGGCUAACUACGUGCCAG
Molecule: ribosomal RNA, 451 nt
Filed under: Staphylococcus pasteuri
Lineage: Bacteria; Bacillati; Bacillota; Bacilli; Caryophanales; Staphylococcaceae
Description: bacterial SSU rRNA
Rfam family: Bacterial small subunit ribosomal RNA
Source: RNAcentral